CCUACGGGAGGCAGCAGUGAGGAAUAUUGGUCAAUGGACGCAAGUCUGAACCAGCCAUGCCGCGUGCAGGAAGACGGCUCUAUGAGUUGUAAACUGCUUUUGUACGAGGGUAAACGCAGAUACGCGUAUCUGUCUGAAAGUAUCGUACGAAUAAGGAUCGGCUAACUCCGUGCCAGCAGCCGCGGUAAUACGGAGGAUUCAAGCGUUAUCCGGAUUUAUUGGGUUUAAAGGGUGCGUAGGCGGUCGGAUAAGUUAGAGGUGAAAUCCCGAGGCUCAACUUCGGAAUUGCCUCUGAUACUGUUCGGCUUGAGAGUAGUUGCGGUAGUCGGAAUGUAUGGUGUAGCGGUGAAAUGCUUAGAGAUCAUACAGAACACCGAUUGCGAAGGCAGCUUACCAAGCUACUUCUGACGUUGAGGCACGAAAGCGUGGGGAGCAAACAGGAUUAGAUACCCUAGUAGUC
RNAcentral lists this ribosomal RNA (460 nucleotides) under uncultured bacterium. Its description in RNAcentral is "partial 16S ribosomal RNA". It matches the Rfam family "Bacterial small subunit ribosomal RNA", at positions 338 to 795 of the family's 1533-position model. The record is from RNAcentral.